This 656-nucleotide ribosomal RNA is filed under the name uncultured bacterium. RNAcentral's name for it is "bacterial SSU rRNA". It matches the Rfam family "Bacterial small subunit ribosomal RNA", at positions 848 to 1509 of the family's 1533-position model. The record is from RNAcentral.
CAGCUAACGCGUGAAGUUGACCGCCUGGGGAGUACGGUCGCAAGAUUAAAACUCAAAGGAAUUGACGGGGACCCGCACAAGCGGUGGAUGAUGUGGAUUAAUUCGAUGCAACGCGAAAAACCUUACCUACCCUUGACAUGUCUGGAAUUCCGAAGAGAUUUGGAAGUGCUCGCAAGAGAACCGGAACACAGGUGCUGCAUGGCUGUCGUCAGCUCGUGUCGUGAGAUGUUGGGUUAAGUCCCGCAACGAGCGCAACCCUUGUCAUUAGUUGCUACGAAAGGGCACUCUAAUGAGACUGCCGGUGACAAACCGGAGGAAGGUGGGGAUGACGUCAAGUCCUCAUGGCCCUUAUGGGUAGGGCUUCACACGUCAUACAAUGGUCGGGACAGAGGGUCGCCAACCCGCGAGGGGGAGCCAAUCCCAGAAACCCGAUCGUAGUCCGGAUCGCAGUCUGCAACUCGACUGCGUGAAGUCGGAAUCGCUAGUAAUCGCGGAUCAGCAUGUCGCGGUGAAUACGUUCCCGGGUCUUGUACACACCGCCCGUCACACCAUGGGAGUGGGUUUUACCAGAAGUAGUUAGCCUAACCGCAAGGGGGGCGAUUACCACGGUAGGAUUCAUGACUGGGGUGAAGUCGUAACAAGGUAGCCGUAAAGGG